AACAAGUGAAGUGAGGAGACCAAACAAGUGAAGCGAGGAGACCUGGAGGAGUUCCGGUGAGCUACAGGUUAGUUCUCUUCCUCUCUUCUUCAGGCACUGUUUCUUUGCAAUAUUCUACACUUCAAUUCAAAACUUUCUCUUCUGUAGCUCUCAUCGUCAUGCUGUUUCUUGGACUGAGUGGUUAAUGUUUGGUUUCUAGCGUUGAUUACGGUUAGUUCUUGCUUCGUUUCUUGGUAGAUUCUCACAGGUAACUGAAAUGGAGUUCGAUCUGCUACUUGGUUUUGGAUAACUACGAUUCCUCUCACUUGGUUUAUCAUGCAAUUUAAUUUAUCACGGCAAGCUGCAGUAGUGAUAAAUAUAUACCCACUUCUGAAGCUGUGCAAUUAGAAAAAUUGUGGAGGACGAGAAUUAGCUUAGGGACAAAUAAAGAUGCUGUUGUACAUGGUUGUAGGGGGAAGUCUCCUAGGUUCAGUGAUGAAUUAUUGAUCAAUACUUUAUUUUGAAAAUUGAUCUUUACAUUAUCUAAAAAUAAUCUUAUUAGAAUUUGCUACAUUCUAGAUUUGAAAUUAUAGACUGAGAUAUUUGACUUUUAGCUUUUAGUAUUAGCAUGUCUUAGGUGUAGCUGAAGGUAUUGCUCAAUUGUAGUCUUUGUUGGGUAUUACAUUACCCAUGAAGUUGGUGUUCAUAUGCCAAAAAAAAUCCCAUUUAAAUUCAGCUCCAUAUAUUUGAUUGAUUCAUUAUUUCUAUCCUUGGUCCUCCAGGUGCUGCCACUAAAUUAGCUUUGUGUGUCUCCUAGGUUCAGCUAUAAGUUUCAGUUUUAGUUCGAAGUGUUAAAUACUUGAAAUUAACUAGAAGGGUUCAGGUUCAGUUUGAAUUUAAGUUUCUCUUUCCUUAUUUGAGUUUUAGGAUUAAGUUUCAGUUUCGUUUUAAUUUUUUCUAAGAAGGGUUGUACACUGUUGGAUGCUCAGUUUGUUUAUACAAGAGAAAGUGAUAUCAAUAGUACAGGGCUGAUGCUUGUGAUUUCUUGUGUUAGCUUCGUUUUCAGCUCAAUAGCUCAGGGAGUGUCUGGUUAUCAACAAAACAAAAAACUGACUGAGACCCAAAAAAUAUUUCAG
This 1115-nucleotide long non-coding RNA is filed under the name Brachypodium distachyon (stiff brome). RNAcentral's name for it is "long non-coding RNA (BDIS_LNC000127)". Lineage: Eukaryota; Viridiplantae; Streptophyta; Magnoliopsida; Poales; Poaceae. The record is from RNAcentral.